AUUAGACGAAUCAUCUGGAAAGAUGAAUCAAAGAAGGUAAUAAUCCUGUAGUCGAAAAUGUUGUCUCUCUUGAGUGGAUCCUGAGUACGACGGAGCACGUGAAAUUCCGUCGGAAUCUGGGAGGACCAUCUCCUAAGGCUAAAUACUCUCUAGUGACCGAUAGUGAACCAGUACCGUGAGGGAAAGGUGAAAAGCACCCCGGAAGGGGAGUGAAAUAGAACCUGAAACCGUGUGCUUACAAGUAGUCAGAGCCCGUUAAUGGGUGAUGGCGUGCCUUUUGUAGAAUGAACCGGCGAGUUACGAUUUGAUGCAAGGUUAAGCAGUAAAUGUGGAGCCGUAGCGAAAGCGAGUCUGAAUAGGGCGUUUAGUAUUUGGUCGUAGACCCGAAACCAGGUGAUCUACCCUUGGUCAGGUUGAAGUUCAGGUAACACUGAAUGGAGGACCGAACCGACUUACGUUGAAAAGUGAGCGGAUGAACUGAGGGUAGCGGAGAAAUUCCAAUCGAACCUGGAGAUAGCUGGUUCUCUCCGAAAUAGCUUUAGGGCUAGCCUCAAGUGAUGAUUAUUGGAGGUAGAGCACUGUUUGGACGAGGGGCCCCUCUCGGGUUACCGAAUUCAGACAAACUCCGAAUGCCAAUUAAUUUAACUUGGGAGUCAGAACAUGGGUGAUAAGGUCCGUGUUCGAAAGGGAAACAGCCCAGACCACCAGCUAAGGUCCCAAAAUAUAUGUUAAGUGGAAAAGGAUGUGGCGUUGCCCAGACAACUAGGAUGUUGGCUUAGAAGCAGCCAUCAUUUAAAGAGUGCGUAAUAGCUCACUAGUCGAGUGACACUGCGCCGAAAAUGUACCGGGGCUAAACAUAUUACCGAAGCUGUGGAUUGUCCUUUGGACAAUGGUAGGAGAGCGUUCUAAGGGCGUUGAAGCAUGAUCGUAAGGACAUGUGGAGCGCUUAGAAGUGAGAAUGCCGGUGUGAGUAGCGAAAGACGGGUGAGAAUCCCGUCCACCGAUUGACUAAGGUUUCCAGAGGAAGGCUCGUCCGCUCUGGGUUAGUCGGGUCCU
This 1056-nucleotide ribosomal RNA is filed under the name Staphylococcus aureus. RNAcentral describes it as "partial 23S ribosomal RNA". It matches the Rfam family "Bacterial large subunit ribosomal RNA", at positions 328 to 1392 of the family's 2925-position model. The record is from RNAcentral. Lineage: Bacteria; Bacillati; Bacillota; Bacilli; Caryophanales; Staphylococcaceae.